AUUGAACGCUGGCGGCAGGCCUAACACAUGCAAGUCGAACGGUAACAGGAAGACGCUUGCUUCUUUGCUGACGAGUGGCGGACGGGUGAGUAAUGUCUGGGAAACUGCCUGAUGGAGGGGGAUAACUACUGGAAACGGUAGCUAAUACCGCAUAACGUCGCAAGACCAAAGAGGGGGACCUUCGGGCCUCUUGCCAUCGGAUGUGCCCAGAUGGGAUUAGCUAGUAGGUGGGGUAACGGCUCACCUAGGCGACGAUCCCUAGCUGGUCUGAGAGGAUGACCACCCACACGGAAACUGGGAACGGGUCAGACCCCCUAGGGGAGGCAGCGGGGGGAAAAUUUGGAAAAGGGGGGGAAGCUUGCGGCACCCAGGCCGGGGGUAUAAAGAGGGCCUUCGGGUGGGAAAGUACUUUAAGCGGGGAGAAAGGGUGUAAAGUUAAUACCUUUGCUCUUGACGGUACCCCGCAAAAAAGGCACCGCUAAACACCUG
This 489-nucleotide ribosomal RNA is filed under the name uncultured bacterium. RNAcentral's name for it is "partial 16S ribosomal RNA". It matches the Rfam family "Bacterial small subunit ribosomal RNA", at positions 29 to 507 of the family's 1533-position model. The record is from RNAcentral.